Molecule: small RNA, 28 nt
Filed under: Bombyx mori (domestic silkworm)
Lineage: Eukaryota; Metazoa; Arthropoda; Insecta; Lepidoptera; Bombycidae
Description: piRNA piR-bmo-2186524
Source: RNAcentral
CACCAAGACUACGUGAUUCAAGUGCUGC